Molecule: ribosomal RNA, 821 nt
Filed under: Zopfia rhizophila
Lineage: Eukaryota; Fungi; Ascomycota; Dothideomycetes; Zopfiaceae
Description: SSU rRNA
Rfam family: Bacterial small subunit ribosomal RNA
Source: RNAcentral
GAACCAGCAACUUGGAGGAAUGAGAGUUAAUAUAUAAGGUAUUAAAUUAUUAACUUGCUUGACUAUGUCUUAUAAAAUUCUAGAUAAAGCUGAUAAUGACAACUUUAUAUCUAUAGGUCUCGACUAAAUCUUGUGCCAGCAGUCGCGGUAAGACAAGGGAGACGAGUGUUAUUCAUCUUUAUUAGGUAUAUAGGGUACCUAGACUGUGUAGAAGGCUCCAAAAAGUACCUUUUACACUAGAGUUUGGUAUGUGAGAGGGAGAUGUCAGAACUGUUGGUGUAGAGAUGAAAUUCUUUGAUACCUCUAGGACGGAUAAUGGCGAAGGCAAACCUCUAUGUACAUAGACUUUACUAUUUUAACUCUUUUGUAAAAAAGGUAUAAACCAUAAAAAGACUCAGUCAAAAUUUAGAUUGAGAUAUAAAAUUUGUAAAGUACAGAAACUGACGUUGAGGGACGAAGGCUCAGAAAGUGAAGAGGAUUAGAUACCCCCGUAGCCUGGGCAGACAAUGAUGAGUGUCAUAGGUUGGCUUAUCAAAAAUAUGGCUGAACUAUAAAUGAAAAUGUAAGCACUCCACCUCAAGAGUAAUGUGGCAACGCAGGAACUGAAAUCAUUAGACCGUUUCUGAAACCAGUAGUGAAGUAUGUUAUUUAAUUCGAUGAUCCACGAAUAACCUUACCACAAUUUGAAUGCUCUAUAUUACAUAUAUAGACCACAUGCGUUGCAUGGCUGUCUUCAGUUAAUGUCGUGAGAUUUGGUUAGGUCCAUUAAAUUAACGUAAACCCUUGUUUUAUUUAAUAUAAUAAGGCAGUUCACCGCUUAC